AGUCACAAAGCAUUUGUGCCAGCCUCUACCUUGCCUCCACAGCCCUCCAUUUCCUGCUUCUGCUGCCAUCUGAAAGAGCAUGUGUGAGAGACAGAAACCAACUAAGAUGAGAACACUUUUGUAUAAUGUAAGGUAGAGCACCUCUUUACUUCUGGCCAAACUCGGGCCUUGACAGGCAUUACUAGAGCAUUCUUCUGUGUUAUUUGGGAAGGGAAAGAAGAAAUGUGACUAACAUGUCCCUCAGAUUCAAAAGGAAGUGACAAGGCCCAGCCCUACCAGAACUUGAAGGAAAGAGGAGGAGCAGAGCUAAACUAUAGCAACUUCACGGGGAAAACCCUUUCCUGCGGGAGCAAAGCUGAUACACUGGGGAAGCCUUUCCCUGAAGCAGGAUUGUAAGCUGCUACACUUACUGUGACCUGUGGUUUUCCUUGGCUGCCAAGCUCCAGGAUACCUCUCCAUCUGAACAGUGUAACAUUCAGAUCUGCGAAAGGAAUGUGAUUGGUUCAGGAAGGUCUCAGAGCAGGGAAGACCUCAAUCAAGAUGGCACAUAAAGUUAACAAGGAAUGCUCCCGGGCUGCAGUUAGAGAUUAAAGGAAGGAACCAGAGAUCAAAGGAGAACUGUUCAUCUUCAACAAUGACACUUGUCUGGUAGAAGAUGGCACAAACAGAACUUGACAACAAAUGCAAAGCUGAUGAGUUUAGCCCACCCGAUCGUGAGGCUGGUCACUGUACUACUCUGUUCAUGGAUAUAAGGAAAGGAAGUCUGAAUUUGGCUCCUUUAAUGGUAUAGACUGUGGGAUUUUCUGCACUGAAGAUGCAAGGCUUGGGAAAAAGUGAUCCCGGUUUGCAGCUCCUUAACUAGCUCUGGGCUGGCGAGUAUGACAACUGAAGAUCUGAGAACAGAAGAUAAAACAUGAAUCAGUGGAGACCUUAGGAUGGGUCAGAGAGCUGGCUUUAUCCAGAUACACUACACUCAAGUUACCAUACAUGAGCUGUGUUCUAGACUGGUCUUUGUAUGUGCCGGAGAUACCCUUUGUGUAUAGUGUCUUCGUAAAGCAAAAUAAUUUCCAGCUUUGCUUAUAACACUAGUGUGAUCAU
Molecule: long non-coding RNA, 1098 nt
Organism: Mesocricetus auratus (golden hamster)
Lineage: Eukaryota; Metazoa; Chordata; Mammalia; Rodentia; Cricetidae
Exons: 6
Source: RefSeq, a predicted model, not a curated record